GGAAGACUGAAACUGAAGAACAAUCCGAGGAGGUAAUUCAGAGGGUUGAAUUACCAAUAAUAGUAAAAGCCGAUGUUCAGGGCACUGUACAGGCAGUUACAGAUGCAUUGAAAACUUUAAACAGUCCUCAGGUUUUUGUAAAUGUUGUCCAUGUUGGCGUUGGCCCAGUUUCCCAGUCUGAUGUUGACUUAGCUCAAGCGUGUGGGGCAUAUAUAGUAGGAUUUAAUGUGAAGAAUCCCCCAAGUUC
Molecule: unclassified non-coding RNA, 247 nt
Filed under: Hevea brasiliensis (rubber tree)
Lineage: Eukaryota; Viridiplantae; Streptophyta; Magnoliopsida; Malpighiales; Euphorbiaceae
Source: RNAcentral